Molecule: ribosomal RNA, 121 nt
Organism: Pteropus vampyrus (large flying fox)
Lineage: Eukaryota; Metazoa; Chordata; Mammalia; Chiroptera; Pteropodidae
Source: Ensembl
GUCUACGGCCAUGCCACCCUGAACAAGCCCGAUGUCUGAUCUUGGAAGCUAAACUAAGCAGGGUUGGGCCUGGUUAGUACUUGGAUGGGAGACCACCUAGGAAGACCAGGUGCUGUAGGCA